Molecule: ribosomal RNA, 468 nt
Filed under: uncultured bacterium
Lineage: Bacteria
Description: partial 16S ribosomal RNA
Rfam family: Bacterial small subunit ribosomal RNA
Source: RNAcentral
GACGAACGCUGGCGGCGUGCUUAACACAUGCAAGUCGAACGGAAAGGCCCUGCUUUUGUGGGGUGCUCGAGUGGCGAACGGGUGAGUAACACGUGAGUAACCUGCCCUUGACUUUGGGAUAACUUCAGGAAACUGGGGCUCAUACCGGAUAGGAGCUCCUGCUGCAUGGUGGGGGUUGGAAAGUUUCGGCGGUUGGGGAUGGACUCGCGGCUUAUCAGCUUGUUGGUGGGGUAGUGGCUUACCAAGGCUUUGACGGGUAGCCGGCCUGAGAGGGUGACCGGCCACAUUGGUACUGAGAUACGGCCCAGACUCCUACGGGAGGCAGCAGUGGGGAAUAUUGCACAAUGGGCGGAAGCCUGAUGCAGCAACGCCGCGUGCGGGAUGACGGCCUUCGGGUUGUAAACCGCUUUCGCCGGUGACGAAGCGUGAGUGACGGUAAUGGGUAAAGAAGCACCGGCUAACUACGUG